This is a long non-coding RNA of Pseudophryne corroboree (corroboree frog), 251 nucleotides long. RefSeq lists it as uncharacterized. The record is from RefSeq and is a predicted model, not a curated record. NCBI's taxonomy places the organism in Eukaryota, Metazoa, Chordata, Amphibia, Anura, Myobatrachidae. The transcript has 3 exons.
UGGACUGCUCUGCAACUGCCACUGGGAAGGAAGUCCAGCCUUAUGGUUCAGGAGAUUUUGUGAUGAAUCAGUGGGUGUUCUCGUACAUGGAAUCUUCCAAAGCUAGGAAGCUGUAAACUGCACAGAGCCUGGAGGUUAAAAAUAACCUGCUUUUGGCUGGGGAGUGCCGACGUUGGGCAAGAAAAGCAAAUCUACUGUCAAGAUGCUGUUUCCAUGGAAACUGUCCAUAAAAGAAUCAGGAGUUGCUGAAA